This 225-nucleotide unclassified non-coding RNA is filed under the name uncultured Desulfarculaceae bacterium. RNAcentral describes it as "contains 16S-23S intergenic spacer region". Lineage: Bacteria; Pseudomonadati; Thermodesulfobacteriota; Desulfarculia; Desulfarculales; Desulfarculaceae. The record is from RNAcentral.
UCCCCGUUCUCCUGGGCUGUCCUCUGUUGUCUAGCCCGGGUAAGGUUCUUCGCGUUGCGUCGAAUUGAACCACAUGCUCCACCGCUUGUGCGGGCCCCCGUCAAUUCCUUUGAGUUUUAACCUUGCGGCCGUAGUCCCCAGGCGGGGCACUUAAUGCGUUAGCUGCGGCACCGCAGGGGUCAAUACCCGCGACACCUAGUGCCCAUCGUUUACAGCGUGGACUAC